CUGUAAUCCCAGCACUUUGGGAGGCCGAGGAGGGUGGAUCACCUGACGUCAGGAGUUCGACAGCAGCCUGGCCAACCUGGGAAAUCCGUCUCUAUGAAAAACGUAAAAAUUAGCUGGGCGUGGUGGCGGGCACCCGCAAUCCCAGCUACUCAGGAAGCUGAGGGGAGAGACUCGCUGGAACUCAGGCGGAGGUUGCAGUGAGCCGAGAUCGCACGUGCCACUGCCCUCCAGCCUGGGCGACAAGAGCGAAACUCGCUUUCAAACAAAACAAGCAAACAAAAACCCGAAACCAACCAACCAACCAAAAUCUGAUUCCCGAAUGCGUGAAGAAACUGAUUUGAGUAAUAAUAAAACUCCGGUCUACCGCACAGCCGGCUCUGCGUGAAUUACUCUUUCGCCAUUGCAAUUCCCCUGUCUUGAUAAAUCGGCUCUGUCUACGCAGCGGGCAAGGUGAACCCACUGGGCAGUUACAGCAUUAUUAGGUAUAUUAACACUGUUGUGCAAACAUCCCCACUCUCGGUCUCCAGAACUUUUUGUCAUCCCACACUGAAACUCUACCGAUUAAACACUAAGUCCCCAUUCUCUCCCCAGGGUUUUUAACAAGCCGUGUUAAACCGAAGGGGCACCUGCUUGCCAGGUGGAGGGCUGGGCACUGGGAGGGUUCUGCCCUCCCGACUGAGCAGGGAUUCCCGAGGUGACUAAGCACGCUCUCUGGGUAGCGCUCCCGCCCUCACCUAUUGUCCGGGUGGAGGAACCGGUAUUUCCGGAUUGGGGCCUCAGACCCAGUGAUCCCGGCUAAGGGCGAGACUGGCGGGGGAGGGGAACGGAAGCGGGUCAUAAAAGUUAACUUUACACUAAAAUCGUUAACUUGUCUCACACCCCUCAAUAAAACCUGUGACCUCCCCGCCCCUCCAAGAGCCCCCCGCGCACCCACAGUGGCCCACAACCAUGCUUCCCGGGGGCUUUGAAGCGUAGAGGAGCUGACCUCCUCCUUGCCCACACCCUGGAGAGGAUCAGGAAGCGGACCUGGGCACGCAUAGAGAAAGAAGCCCAGCAAAUUCCUCUUGCACCCGCUC
Molecule: long non-coding RNA, 1076 nt
Filed under: Macaca fascicularis (crab-eating macaque)
Lineage: Eukaryota; Metazoa; Chordata; Mammalia; Primates; Cercopithecidae
Description: lncRNA (ENSMFAG00000057096.1)
Source: RNAcentral